Molecule: ribosomal RNA, 799 nt
Filed under: uncultured Ralstonia sp.
Lineage: Bacteria; Pseudomonadati; Pseudomonadota; Betaproteobacteria; Burkholderiales; Burkholderiaceae
Description: bacterial SSU rRNA
Rfam family: Bacterial small subunit ribosomal RNA
Source: RNAcentral
AGAGUUUGAUCCUGGCUCAGAUUGAACGCUGGCGGCAUGCCUUACACAUGCAAGUCGAACGGCAGCAUGAUCUAGCUUGCUAGAUUGAUGGCGAGUGGCGAACGGGUGAGUAAUACAUCGGAACGUGCCCUGUAGUGGGGGAUAACUAGUCGAAAGAUUAGCUAAUACCGCAUACGACCUGAGGGUGAAAGUGGGGGACCGCAAGGCCUCAUGCUAUAGGAGCGGCCGAUGUCUGAUUAGCUAGUUGGUGAGGUAAAGGCUCACCAAGGCGACGAUCAGUAGCUGGUCUGAGAGGACGAUCAGCCACACUGGGACUGAGACACGGCCCAGACUCCUACGGGAGGCAGCAGUGGGGAAUUUUGGACAAUGGGGGCAACCCUGAUCCAGCAAUGCCGCGUGUGUGAAGAAGGCCUUCGGGUUGUAAAGCACUUUUGUCCGGAAAGAAAUCGCACUUACUAAUAUUAGGUGUGGAUGACGGUACCGGAAGAAUAAGGACCGGCUAACUACGUGCCAGCAGCCGCGGUAAUACGUAGGGUCCAAGCGUUAAUCGGAAUUACUGGGCGUAAAGCGUGCGCAGGCGGUUGUGCAAGACCGAUGUGAAAUCCCCGGGCUUAACCUGGGAAUUGCAUUGGUGACUGCACGGCUAGAGUGUGUCAGAGGGGGGUAGAAUUCCACGUGUAGCAGUGAAAUGCGUAGAGAUGUGGAGGAAUACCGAUGGCGAAGGCAGCCCCCUGGGAUAACACUGACGCUCAUGCACGAAAGCGUGGGGAGCAAACAGGAUUAGAUACCCCUGUAGUCC